Molecule: ribosomal RNA, 460 nt
Filed under: uncultured bacterium
Lineage: Bacteria
Description: partial 16S ribosomal RNA
Rfam family: Bacterial small subunit ribosomal RNA
Source: RNAcentral
CCUACGGGUGGCAGCAGUGAGGAAUAUUGGUCAAUGGACGCAAGUCUGAACCAGCCAUGCCGCGUGCAGGAAGACGGCUCUAUGAGUUGUAAACUGCUUUUGUACGAGGGUAAACGCAGAUACGCGUAUCUGUCUGAAAGUAUCGUACGAAUAAGGAUCGGCUAACUCCGUGCCAGCAGCCGCGGUAAUACGGAGGAUUCAAGCGUUAUCCGGAUUUAUUGGGUUUAAAGGGUGCGUAGGCGGUCGGGUAAGUUAGAGGUGAAAUCCCGAGGCUCAACUUCGGAAUUGCCUCUGAUACUGUUAGGCUAGAGAGUAGUUGAGGUAGGCGGAAUGUAAGGUGUAGCGGUGAAAUGCUUAGAGAUCAUGAAGAACACCGAUUGCGAAGGCAGCUUACCAAGCUACUACUGACGUUGAGGCACGAAAGCGUGGGGAGCAAACAGGAUUAGAUACCCUUGUAGUC